Molecule: ribosomal RNA, 105 nt
Filed under: Noctiluca scintillans
Lineage: Eukaryota; Dinophyceae; Noctilucales; Noctilucaceae
Description: partial 5.8S ribosomal RNA
Source: RNAcentral
GAAGGACAUCUUGGUUCACAGCAUGUUCACGAUCGCCGCGAUGUGCUUGAUGUUGUGCCAACUGGUGCCGCUGGUUGCGUACAACGAAGCGGUGAACGCACGAUU